This 371-nucleotide unclassified non-coding RNA is filed under the name Hevea brasiliensis (rubber tree). The record is from RNAcentral. Lineage: Eukaryota; Viridiplantae; Streptophyta; Magnoliopsida; Malpighiales; Euphorbiaceae.
GAGAUUUUUGUUUCUGAAGUCCACCUUUUUUCGCUUUGUUAUGAGUCACUCUACUUGGGAUGAGGAGAUUUCCACUUUGAAUGAUAUACAUGAUUGAUUGUUCUAUUGUGCUCUGGGGUUUCAUUUGGUGUGCACUGCAAUCCCAUGACUUCUUCUAUCCAUGAUUAUUCUGAUAAUGGUGAGGCUGAUGAGCAGCAAAAGUACUCUGGAUCUCAGAAUCAUUCUUCAUCAAUCGUAAAUGGACUAAGUCAACCCACCAUCGUAACUCCAAAUCAGUAUGUAACAUCUCCUCAAGUUGGAGCAGGACAUGCUAUGGCACCCCCUGCUUAUCCAUAUCCAGAUCCUUAUUACAGAAGCAUCUUCACUCCCUA